AAUCUAUUAGACAUCACAAUAGGGGAUAAUGGUGGAAAAUUUGUGAUGUUAAAGACUGGAGACAUCUGUGUAGCAACAUCCUUCUGCUUGUUCAACUGUUCCUCCACACCAUCAGGGGAUCUUGGUUGUUUUGCAUUGUCUGGUUGCUGGACUUGAUUUCCCUGACUGCUCUGGGCCACCAGGAGCUGGAGCCUUAACUCUCCAUUCCUGUGUCAUUCUAGGCUUGACUGAGGGGGCUGUUUUAGCCAAGCAGUUAUGUCCCACCAUCAGACACUUCUCACAAUAUGAUGGCUUUCAAUCAUAUGACACAUCUUGCAUAAAGCUCUUUCCAUUGGGAUCCAUCUGUUCAAUCUCACUUGGUAAUGCCUUUGAUACAUUCACCUCAAUUAGCAUACGAGCAUAAGAGACUCUACUUUGCUUUGUCGUGCAUUCAUC
Molecule: long non-coding RNA, 435 nt
Filed under: Nicotiana benthamiana
Lineage: Eukaryota; Viridiplantae; Streptophyta; Magnoliopsida; Solanales; Solanaceae
Description: long non-coding RNA (NBEN_LNC018409)
Source: RNAcentral